UACGGAGGAUCCAAGCGUUAUCCGGAUUUAUUGGGUUUAAAGGGUGCGUAGGCGGUUUGUUAAGUUAGAGGUGAAAUCCCGUGGCUCAACCACGGAACUGCCUCUGAUACUGGCAGGCUAGAGAUAAGUUGCUGUGGGCGGAAUGUGUGGUGUAGCGGUGAAAUGCUUAGAGAUCACACAGAACACCGAUUGCGAAGGCAGCUCACAAAGCUUAAUCUGACGCUGAGGCACGAAAGCGUGGGGAGCAAACAGGAUUAGAAACCCCGGUAGUCC
This 273-nucleotide ribosomal RNA is filed under the name uncultured Alistipes sp. RNAcentral's name for it is "partial 16S ribosomal RNA". It matches the Rfam family "Bacterial small subunit ribosomal RNA", at positions 524 to 796 of the family's 1533-position model. Lineage: Bacteria; Pseudomonadati; Bacteroidota; Bacteroidia; Bacteroidales; Rikenellaceae. The record is from RNAcentral.